UAGGGAAUCUUCGGCAAUGGACGAAAGUCUGACCGAGCAACGCCGCGUGAGUGAAGAAGGUUUUCGGAUCGUAAAACUCUGUUGUUAGAGAAGAACAAGGACGUUAGUAACUGAACGUCCCCUGACGGUAUCUAACCAGAAAGCCACGGCUAACUACGUGCCAGCAGCCGCGGUAAUACGUAGGUGGCAAGCGUUGUCCGGAUUUAUUGGGCGUAAAGCGAGCGCAGGCGGUUUCUUAAGUCUGAUGUGAAAGCCCCCGGCUCAACCGGGGAGGGUCAAUGGAAACUGGGAGACUUGAGUGCAGAAGAGGAGGGUGGAAUUCCAUGUGUAGCGGUGAAAUGCGUAAAUAUAUGGAGGAACGCCAGUGGCGAAGGCGGCUCUCUGAUCUGUAACUGACGAUGAGGCUCGAAAGCGUGGGGAGCAAACAGG
This 429-nucleotide ribosomal RNA is filed under the name Gemmatimonadota bacterium. Its description in RNAcentral is "Gemmatimonadetes bacterium partial 16S ribosomal RNA". It matches the Rfam family "Bacterial small subunit ribosomal RNA", at positions 355 to 776 of the family's 1533-position model. The record is from RNAcentral. Lineage: Bacteria; Pseudomonadati; Gemmatimonadota.